RNAcentral lists this long non-coding RNA (698 nucleotides) under Elaeis guineensis (African oil palm). RNAcentral's name for it is "long non-coding RNA (EGUI_LNC003213)". Lineage: Eukaryota; Viridiplantae; Streptophyta; Magnoliopsida; Arecales; Arecaceae. The record is from RNAcentral.
CUUCUCUUUUUCAUCACUUUUAGUAAUGUUAUAGAUCCAUACUUCGGCCUCGAUUCAAACAACCUUGUCACGACCGAAUUAAUCACAUUCGAGCUAUUGGAGAUAGCGUUUGCUGAGCUAAAGCACAGAUAUGGUGAUUAUCCAAUAUGACCUGUCGAGUCAGCAGCAGUUUUUAUUUUUCAGUCUAAUCUCGUUUCAUCUCAAAAAAUGAUCUAUUUUAUUUUGCCGACCUACUUCAACAAAUAAAAAGAUCAAUAUCUGCUCGAUAAAUUUCAGUUUCUCGAUCUGGAUGACCUACUAAAUCGGCUAUGACCGACCUAUUCUUUUACCAACAAAUCCGUUCUUCCUCUCAAUUGAGAAAAUCUAGAUAAAAUAAAAUUUCUUCGUGAUUGAAUCUCCCGUAAAAGAAAAGUCCUUCGAAUUUAUCCGUACGAUAAAUCUGAAAAUCGUCAGGAUUCUGAGACGGAUAUAUCUCAAACUCUUUUUCUAUAAAUUAAAGAUUUCAGAAUUUUUCAAAAUACACAAUCGACUUAUUGCUCUAUCUUCUUCUUGUUCUCCAAUCUCUUGAUUUGAGCAUCGGAGAAUUUAUACUGAAGAGAGUUAUCUUGAUGUGAAUUUAUUUUGCAGAUAUCCGAACAAAGAUCCAGCGAUGGUUCAACCAUAGCUAUAUCCACCUCGACAUCUGCCCCCUGACGAAA